UUUUUGAGAAAAAAUAUGAAUUAAGGAGGAAAUUAAAAAUAAUUUUGGGAAGAGGGGGGCAAAAUUUGAGUUCGGAGGGUGUUUUUGAAAGAAAAAUUGAAAACAGGGAGUCAAAGUGCAAAUAGAGAAAGUUCAGCCAUGUAGAACCGCCCAGUCAGCAACCUUGACAAAUUGGAGCGCGCCGCAUGGCAAGGCGCACUAACGUUGGUGCCACGCAGGAGUUCACACUAACGAUUUGCACGCGUGGAUGGCCUGGAUCCAUUUUUACCUUAGCCGCGAUCGGACGGAUGAGAUCGAUCAUGAUGGACGGUCCAGAUCAAUGCAUAAUGGUUAUAAAUAGUUUGCAUCACUAAGAAAUCUAAACCCUAGCCAUCAGUCCCCGCUGGAGAAGAAGAACCAACUACCGGAGAAGGAGGCCGACUGCCGACCGCUGCCACGUCGGAGCCACUGCUGACCGUCAAAAAAGGUAAAAAUUUUCCCCCAACCAUUUAGAAUUUGAUUUCAAGUACCACUGUGGCCAAAUCGGAGCAAGAAGAACGAUGGGUGAGCCAGAAACUAUGAGC
This 563-nucleotide long non-coding RNA is filed under the name Carica papaya (papaya). Its description in RNAcentral is "long non-coding RNA (CPAP_LNC003930)". Lineage: Eukaryota; Viridiplantae; Streptophyta; Magnoliopsida; Brassicales; Caricaceae. The record is from RNAcentral.